UGGGGAAUAUUGGACAAUGGGCGAAAGCCUGAUCCAGCCAUGCCGCGUGAGUGACGAAGGCCUUAGGGUUGUAAAGCUCUUUCGUCGGGGACGAUAAUGACGGUACCCGAAGAAGAAGCUCCGGCUAACUUCGUGCCAGCAGCCGCGGUAAUACGAAGGGAGCUAGCGUUGUUCGGAAUCACUGGGCGUAAAGCGCACGUAGACGGAUAGUUAAGUCAGGGGUGAAAUCCUGGGGCUCAACCCCAGAACUGCCUUUGAUACUGGCUGUCUCGAGGUCGAGAGAGGUUGGUGGAAUUCCUAGUGUAGAGGUGAAAUUCGUAGAUAUUAGGAAGAACACCAGUGGCGAAGGCGGCCAACUGGCUCGAUACUGACGCUGAGGUGCGAAAGCGUGGGGAGCAAACAGGAUUAGAUACCCCCGUAGUCCCUGAGCGGGCUGGCAAGGCGCAU
Molecule: ribosomal RNA, 447 nt
Filed under: uncultured bacterium
Lineage: Bacteria
Description: bacterial SSU rRNA
Rfam family: Bacterial small subunit ribosomal RNA
Source: RNAcentral